Molecule: transfer RNA, 81 nt
Filed under: Bos taurus (domestic cattle)
Lineage: Eukaryota; Metazoa; Chordata; Mammalia; Artiodactyla; Bovidae
Also listed under: 2 other names
Rfam family: tRNA
About the family: Transfer RNA (tRNA) molecules are approximately 80 nucleotides in length. Their secondary structure includes four short double-helical elements and three loops (D, anti-codon, and T loops).
Source: Rfam by way of RNAcentral
UCCCUGGUGGUCCAGUGGUUGGGACUUUGCACUUCCAGUACAGAGGUGCAAAGGGUGUGGGUUCAAUCCCUGGUUGGGGAA